Molecule: long non-coding RNA, 2447 nt
Organism: Oncorhynchus tshawytscha (Chinook salmon)
Lineage: Eukaryota; Metazoa; Chordata; Actinopteri; Salmoniformes; Salmonidae
Exons: 11
Source: RefSeq, a predicted model, not a curated record
UUCUAAUUCGGUGACUAAUUAACGUCUGCAGAAGGAUUUCCUGAUUCUCUAGUGUCUGUCCGUCUUCCUCGUUUUUUUGAUGGAUUUUUUUGAACAAAAGAAUCUGCAGUCUCCGGCUCGAUGAAACCACGGAAACCUCCCCCACGCUUGAUGUAGGAGGUCCAGGUGAUGCAGUAAGUUCUGAAAAUGAAAACGUGUCUAGUCCGGAGGGCCUGCAAAGUCCAGAUGGUAUGGCCUGCACAGACGGCCCACCUGGCCCCACUGGCCCCGAUGACGUCAUCACAACCAAUCCGACCAGCCGCUAUGACAUCCUGAAUAGCCCGACCUGCCCUACAUGACCAGUCCAGACGUCAUUUUCAGGACCAGUCGUCCAGAGUUGUGUGUAAGAUUGCAUCUAUGAAAACGUUCAGAGGCAAGUGGACCAUCAUGGCACCAACAACAGAUGGAGCGGCAGUGAGUUUGAGAGCUAUGAUGAGCAGUCAGACAGCGGGACCAAAGGCAAGACCCUGCAUGGCCCACAGCAGUAUUUUCCAGGUCAAUAGUACAAGACGUGUACAGCAAUUGUGUCAACAACUUCACUUAAUGCUCUCAUGAAGAAAGCCUGCAUUUCCAAGACAGCUUUCCUGGAGUUUCUGUAGGACAUCAAGGACAUGUUGAAGAACACUCCCUGGGCCCACCCUGACUGUAUGCCCCUGCAGUUGGCCCUCACUGAGCUGGAGACGUUAGCCGAGAGGCUAAACGAGCAGAAACGAGUAGCAGACCAGGUCGCUGAAAUCCAUCAACUGGCACGCAGAGUUGGUGACCGCCAACUGAGCAAGCUCUUUAACUCAGACUAGAGGCAGCUGAUACUGUGCGAGGUGCUGCUUGAGAUGAUGUACGUAAGGACAGGUCUUACGUACAUAAGGACAGGUCUUCAAGUCCAAGGAGCGCAAAUGUCUUCCUCAGUAACGACACCCUCAUCUGUGCAAACAUCAGUGUCAAGUAAAGUGUUCCUGGUCCCUCCCUGACUGUACCAGGAGCUGGAGUAGCUUCAAUACGACCUGUCUGUUGUUGAACAGGUCACCCUGCUAGUCAGGACAUUACAAGGCACCUACCAGCUGAAGACGGCCCUUCACCACCCGGUCCGUUGUGCCCUGCUGGGCUUCUCUGCAGCCAGCACAUCUCUACCGCAGGGCUAUCUCUGGGUGGCCAGUGGAGGUCAAGUGGAAAUCUUCUCUCUGAACCUGUCCACGCCACACACGGUCAAGCCCAUCCAGCUGGGGUUCCCAGUCCUGUUUCUGGACCACAUGAUGGAGCCCCUGUCCCACCCAAGAGGAAGAGGAUUCAGACGCUCCUGCAAAGAACACAGCCAGCUCUGGCAACACCAUCUGUGUAGGCCUACAGGAUGGAUCCAUGUGUAUUUUAGUGUGGAAACGGCCACCCAGUGCCUUCUGACCUUCUCCCACCCAGACAGUUGUCCAGUUCUGUGCCUGAAACACUCUGCCUCUUUCCUGUUCGCUGGGCUGGGGAAUGGAAAAGUUGCCGUUUAAGCUCAAAAGAGUGGAGCUCGUUCCAGUCGCUAGCUGCGGCGAACUGAAAAAAGGAGCGACCCAGGGAUGUGGGUGCUAAAGGUGAUCUCAAUUGUAACCAUCAAUUUCCACGAUUUAGCACUCCCUAAAGCAGAUGUGACUGUGUGCAGUGGCCCCAUCCGCACCCUCCUAAUCCUGGAGAACACUUUGUGAGCCAGUUGUGCCAACUUCGUCACCGUCAUCCAGGGCUCCAGCUUCCACCUCCAGGUGGGCAAAACACAUCCUUCUAUACACCCUCAUUUACACAGGGCUGAAGGAAAGGGAGGGAGAGGGAGGGAAGGAUAGGAAAAGAAUAGAGACUAUGGCCUUUUCUCAAUUAGAUUUGCUAAAUUCCUUCGUCCUCUCUCCUCUGUCCUCUCGCCUCCUUUUGAAGAAGGUCAAAGGUAAUCAAGGAGAGGCGGCAAGGAGAGUGAACGUGGACGAAAAUGCGCUUGUAUGAAAUGAGAAGCUUCUUCUCCACUCGCGUCAUCAGGCAUAUUACGUUUACAGGGGUGGAUCCCAAAAUAAAUGUGUAAAGUGAUGAAAACGAAUUAGGUUAGUUGUGCAAGACAUUUCAUAGAUAAAAGGACAAGUAAUAUGUUUUUUUUGUGGAGGACCAUCUUUCGUUUGCCUACUAACGAAUUGACACACUCCUCGACCACUUAUCGGUUUCCGGAUCACAGAGGACAGAGGACGGAGAAGAGAGGAUGGAGGACAGACUUUUGCCCAAAUGUGAAAAGGUCUAUAUGACACUGGAAAGGAUAGGUUUUAAUACUGUAUGAUACUGUAGCUAGUAUGAAGAGGACACAUGCAUUGACAACCUCACACAACCACUCCUCUCCGUCUCUCAAUCAGAACACCUCUCUUUCUCAAGCACUCACUCUGUCUUACUCAUUCACC